UACGAAGGGGGCUAGCGUUGCUCGGAAUCACUGGGCGUAAAGGGUGCGUAGGCGGGUCUUUAAGUCAGGGGUGAAAUCCUGGAGCUCAACUCCAGAACUGCCUUUGAUACUGAGGAUCUUGAGUCCGGGAGAGGUGAGUGGAACUGCGAGUGUAGAGGUGAAAUUCGUAGAUAUUCGCAAGAACACCAGUGGCGAAGGCGGCUCACUGGCCCGGUACUGACGCUGAGGCACGAAAGCAUGGGGAGCGAACAGG
RNAcentral lists this ribosomal RNA (253 nucleotides) under uncultured bacterium. RNAcentral's name for it is "partial 16S ribosomal RNA". It matches the Rfam family "Bacterial small subunit ribosomal RNA", at positions 524 to 776 of the family's 1533-position model. The record is from RNAcentral.